RNAcentral lists this transfer RNA (72 nucleotides) under Kwoniella bestiolae CBS 10118. RNAcentral describes it as "tRNA-Glu (CTC) (tRNA-Glu-CTC-1-1, tRNA-Glu-CTC-1-2)". It matches the Rfam family "tRNA". Rfam says of the family: Transfer RNA (tRNA) molecules are approximately 80 nucleotides in length. Lineage: Eukaryota; Fungi; Basidiomycota; Tremellomycetes; Tremellales; Cryptococcaceae. The record is from RNAcentral. RNAcentral also lists the same sequence under 3 other names.
UCCGAUAUAGUAUAACGGUUAGUAUAACCGCCUCUCACGCGGUAGAUCGGGGUUCGAUUCCCCGUGUCGGAA